GUCUCGAAAUUUCGACGAGUAGGAGGGCGCGGGGGUGAGCGUAGAAGUUUGAACGUGAGUUCAAAUGGAGCCGCCUUCGGUGCAGAUCUUGGUAGUAGUAGCAAACACUCCUUUGAGAAGCACGUUAACUCGGAUGAGGGCCGUGCGGAGAAGGGUUCCUCGUCAACUGCAGUUGAACGAGGGUUAGUCGAUCCUAAGCCCAAGGCUCGAGCUUGUUAUCAUACUACUCGACCAAAACACACCAAUCAUCUUCUUCAUUUAGACAAAUAUAAUUUCUCUAUAUAUAAAAGUUGAUCGAAUGAUCGGGCGAAAGGGAAUUCGGACAAAAUUCCGAAACCCGGCGAGGGUAUAACACGUCUAGCCUACGGGCAAACGCGCUAUUAACGCAAUUCCCUAGGCUCCCGGUGACGGGAGAUAGAGCCAAAGACGUUGACGACAGCCCGGGGAAGAGCUAGCUCUUUUCUUCAUAAGGCGCCGCGGACCCUGGAAUCAAUUUGAUGGGAGAAAGGGUAUAGACAUACGUGGAUGUCCGCCGAAGAGUAUCGCAUUUGUUGCGGUAUCUCGCGCGUUGUCGUCGACCCGUGAAAACUUUGGCCGAGGGAUUGCUAAUCUUUUUUAUCGGAGAUUUAGCGACAUACCUUCUCGUCGUUCCUAUUGGUCGUACCUAUAUCCGCAUCCGGUCUCCGAGGUGCUUAGUCUCUUGUCGAUAGUCUAAUGUAGAUAAGGGAAGUCGGCAAACUCGAUCCGUAACUUCGGGAGAAGGAUUGGCUCUUAAGGGCGGGCUAGUCGGGCCUUCGAUCGGAAGCGGUACAAAGAGUUAUGGGUUUCGUCGUCGUCGAGUGGAAUUAGCUAGCGUUUGCGGUGUGGUUUAUCGAGGUCGUAUGCGUUUGACGUUUCGCUAUUGUUUUUGUCGGACUCGAAAUCGGCAUGAAUGAUUUGCGAUUCGUUAUUGAGGACGUAUUCCGAGAUAUCUAUAUCGUCCGUUACUUUUCCUUCUCUUCUUCACGACCCGCUCCGUCGUAUCCGCGGACGUUCGUUGGCUAGUGGUGCUCCGCGGAAGAGAUUCGUUUCGGUACUUUCCUAGAGUAAGAGASAUAUAAUUAUAUAUUGGUUCGUUCCUUAUACAAAUUUUUCUCUCUCUCCUCUUGAUCGUGCUACGGAUCCGUAUAAACGGAUGUCAUCUCGGCUGGCCAUUAGCGUCCGAUUAAGAACUGGCACGGACUAGGGGAAUCCGACUGUCUAAUUAAAACAAAGCAUCGCGAUGGCCGCGAGUCGGUGUUGACGCGAUGUGAUUUCUGCCCAGUGCUCUGAAUGUCAAAGUGAAGAAAUUCAACCAAGCGCGGGUAAACGGCGGGAGUAACUAUGACUCUCUUAAGGUAGCCAAAUGCCUCGUCAUCUAAUUAGUGAUCGCGCAUGAAUGGAUUAACCAGAUUCCCACUGUCCCUAUCUACUGUCU
This 1456-nucleotide ribosomal RNA is filed under the name Eurycope glabra. RNAcentral describes it as "eukaryotic LSU rRNA". It matches the Rfam family "Eukaryotic large subunit ribosomal RNA", at positions 1363 to 2358 of the family's 3401-position model. The record is from RNAcentral. Lineage: Eukaryota; Metazoa; Arthropoda; Malacostraca; Isopoda; Munnopsidae.